UGCAGUUUUUGUUGGUCAAUAUUAUGAAAAUUUGUCUUGUAGAAGUAGAAGUGGUGAAACAGAACUUUGGGAAGCCAUGGUUUUUGCACAAAAUGUAUAGGCAAAAUAAACCUACAAAUCCUCGUGGUGUACAAAUUUAUUCUAUUCUCUCACUUGGAUGUAGUACAUUUCCACCUUUGCAGCUAAAGUUACUGACUAUAUUUUGCAUUCUUGGUCUUCACUAUAGCACUGCAAUUUACCUUUGGUCUUGAAAUCAACCUCUCUGUCACCUUCUUUCCCCCACAGUAACAAGUAUAGUCCCAUGAUGACAAUAAGUGCACCGAUCAUGCUGAAAAUUUUAUGAAAACACCAAUUUCAGACUUAUAACUAAUUAUACUAAAAAAAAUAUUCAUGGUAAAACUAGAUCUGUAUCCCCAAUUUUCUUAUUAUACUAUGAAAAGAACUAUGAGUCAUUGCAUGUUACCUGCCCAAAUAAAGUUUUUCACCAAGGACAGAAUAUGCCAGAAUUGCCACAAAUAUGGUACUAAGAGGGUUAAACAUUGUGACAAAAACUGGUCCUUUUUUCUCGGUGCACCAUAGUUGAGUGUACGUCAACAAACCACUCACA
Molecule: long non-coding RNA, 607 nt
Filed under: Medicago truncatula (barrel medic)
Lineage: Eukaryota; Viridiplantae; Streptophyta; Magnoliopsida; Fabales; Fabaceae
Description: lncRNA gene2601
Source: RNAcentral